GGCUCUUCCCAUCCUGGUUCUGCAGCAGGAGCCAAGGGUGGGGCUGCUCGCCCAUUAAAGGGGAACGUGAGCUGGGUUUAGACCGUCGUGAGACAGGUCGGUCUCUGCCUGACAGGGGCGUAGUUGUUUGAGGGGAAGUUGCCCCUAGUACGAGAGGAACAGGGCAACGCAGCCUCUGGUGUAUCAGCUGUCCGACAGGGCACGUUGAGCAGCUAAGCUGUGUAGGAUAACUCCUGAAAGCAUCUAAGGAGGAAGCCUCUCCCGAGAAAAGACAACUUUCCGUAAGGAGGAGGGCGGCUAUAGAAGAUGGCGUUGAUGGAACGGAGGUGUACGCAUCGAGCUUCGGCGAGGUGUUCAGCCUGCCGUGACCAAUAGCCCAAGGCACCCGAAAA
RNAcentral lists this ribosomal RNA (392 nucleotides) under Thermoproteota archaeon. Its description in RNAcentral is "partial 23S ribosomal RNA". It matches the Rfam family "Archaeal large subunit ribosomal RNA", at positions 2603 to 2987 of the family's 2987-position model. The record is from RNAcentral. Lineage: Archaea; Thermoproteati; Thermoproteota.